This is a long non-coding RNA of Manacus vitellinus (golden-collared manakin), 725 nucleotides long. RefSeq lists it as uncharacterized. The transcript is spliced from 4 exons. The record is from RefSeq and is a predicted model, not a curated record. NCBI's taxonomy places the organism in Eukaryota, Metazoa, Chordata, Aves, Passeriformes, Pipridae.
AUUGCUAUCACCAGUAGUGGAAUAAAAUUACUUUGCUUAUACCCAUCGUGUCUCGGUGUUUGUGAUUUUGGGAGUUCUCACGAACCUAGAACAGUAUUCAAGUGAAUAAGGAGCAAAACUAAUCUAACUUGUUUGUGUUCAUUUGUUUGAAGUGGUGGCUUUGUAUGAUUUUCUGAUUUAUUAGUUUAAAUUUACACUUUCAUUAUAUACAAUUGAUAGGUCUGUCUGUUCAAAGAAAUUUGCUUUUGUAUUUCCCAAAGUAGUGUUUUGUAAUGUCUUGAUUCAGUGCAUUCCAGUGAUGGAGGAACUAAUCAAUAGGAAUACAAUCACUUCUGAAAGAAUUACUACAAGACUGGUCAACAGGUGAUGACAUCUUGUGUGUGACACUAUGAAAGCAUCAAUGGAUCACCAAAAGGAAAAAAUUCAACGAGAAUGAAACUGUACAUGCUCAUCUCAGUUACAAACAUAUUUAAUAUUACAGAGUUCUUGGUUUUUAAAGAGUGGCUGUUAGCAAGCAAGGAUACAGUUUGAGAGGAGUGGGAAUAAAAAGAGCCUUGAUCUUAUUUACCUCAAGCAGCUGCUGAAUCUCCAGUGUGUCCUGUUCCAUAAGCAGCUGCAGAGUGGAAUUUUUUGAACAGUUGUAUUGAGUUUCAUAGCAGGGAAAACUGGUUUUUUGACAAGUGGUUGUUACCAUGAUCUCUACUGAAAGCAAGAUGUCAGAAGGA